GGUAUUUUAGCAUGUCGCAAUCAGGGUUGAUAUUUGUUGACACUCUUGAGUGAAAGUGAAAAAAAGCAUCCAUAAACGUUAUUUUUUUACAAUCCUUUCAGAGUUCUCCCUUCCCGCUUUUUGCAUGGAAGUGAACUGUCAAAACACCUCAUUAUAUUUCAUGCGAUGAAAGCAAGACAACAAAAUAAGUUUAUUAGUUAACGAAGAUUGUCAAGGCAUCGGUCAGUGUCAGUGAAAAAGUGUUUCGGUGAGGUUUAUUUUGGUUGAGUGGACUGUUUGUUUUUCUUUUUCGCUUUGAAGUGAGGAUCAUUUGGUUGGAUUUGUCGUCAAAUUUUAUUCCGUAACCAUGAACGAUGCGCGCGAUCUAUUUCAUCUGAGUAUAACAGCACGUUCGUAGGACGAAAAUCUAGUGUAUCUGAAAGAGUGCUGCGAUCAUUGGAAGUGAAAAUUGAAAAUGAUUGGUUGUAAUUUUCGAAGAAUUUUGCUGGGGAAAAUGACUUUUAUCAGCACUGGUCGCAAUACGCAGUAUGGUGGCGCUGAGAACACUUCUCGACUAACAUUUGAAAAGGCAAUAACAGCCACUGUCAUGAAACAGAGAAAACUGAAGUCGAAGUUUCGUAUCUGAAAUUUAAAUCCUAUUUUAACGUUUCAUACGAUGAGUUGUGUUUUUUUAUUGAAGAUUAAAAAGCUGGUAGUAUCAUCUACUGUUUACUAACACGAAACUGUAAAAAAACAGUUUUAGGUGAGAAAUGAACAGAAAAUAUAAUUACGCCAUAAUUAUAAUGUAGUAGCACUUAUGCCAUGAUGUUUCUUCUGUUAUCUGCCAACACUAGAUAUACGCCUAUGAAUAACAGCAAAAAAACUUUUCAGUGUACUUUUACGCCCUGGCUUUUAUGUCAGGUUGAUUGUAAAUAUGGACUUUCGUCCUUUUGAUCAAUACAAAUAAAAUACGUGAUUCAAGGUUAUUUUUUUUUAUUCUCGCUUAUUUUCCGUCGGUCUAGUUCCGCCACUGUUGUGGCCAAUCACCGACGCCCAGGGAGGCGACUCCACACCCAGGACCCUAACUCACGACCCGUUUAUUAACGGACCGGCGCCAACGGCUUUACUUCCUCAUGCGAUGGAAGGCGUGAUCCCAGAAAUUUUUCGCCUCAGAAAAUCUCCCGAUGUCGCCUAGAAUUGAAUCUAGACCAGUUGGGUUGGUUGUGCGUGGAUCACGCCACCUCACAACCAUCGACACCUAUGUCGGCGGUGGGAUUCGAACCCAGGCGUCGAGCGUGGUUGGCGGAGACGUUACCAACCACACUAGGCCCCCGCUCACAAGAAGGUUUUAUAAAACAGAAGUUCUAUUUCAUAAAAAAAUAUUAAUACACAAGAUAAACAAGAUAUUCCGCCAUCUCGGAAGGAGAUACGUUGAUUGUGACUAACAAUUCGGAUAUAACCACAAUGAAAAUACUUAUUAGGAUCUGAUGUAUACCCACUGGAAAAUAAACUACUUUUGUUGUUCUUCAACAAAAAAUCCAUUCCCUGAUAUGUUGAAAUCAAUAAAAGCAAUGACUGCUACUGAGCAUUACUCAAUGUAGAGACGACAUUCUUCGCUUGUAGCUUUAUCAACAGCUUCUGGGAAAAUAUUAAAAACCUAAUAUAUAUAUUUUUACAAGCACCAAGUAUGUGUAUCAUACCGACUCAGGGGACUGUUACCGUCAAAGUUUUGCCUACCAAUCAUAAAUUUAUUAUAGCAUUAAAGUUUUAUUUAAAAUGCUCACACACUAUAUCUUAUUUAUUGAAAGUGCUCAUUGUACUGAUAACAAACGUUUAGCUUUGGUUUUUUUCCUUCUAAAAACAUGUUCGAUAAUAAGUCGCAUACGCUGUAACAACCAACUUGAAUUGGUGAAAGGCAGUAACUUGAGGGCAUAAUUCCAAUGAUGCCAGUUUAAAUACGAAGAAUGACGAUGUAACAACACGGUUGUGUAUAAUUAUAGGAUAUGAACCAUAACAACACAUGAUAAACUUUUGCACACAAAAGUUCACUAAAAUGCUUACCAAUCAAUGCUAACCGAUAAGUCACGUUUUUUGAGUAUGUUGCACCAUUUUUUUGAAGGAAAAAUAUGUGGCGUAACAACAAUGUAACGUGGUACUCAAAAAGUGGAAAUAUGUCUUUUGAGAAAUAAUGUUUAUUUGCAGAAUUUUGGCACUAUUUGUUAAAUCAGACUAUAGAAUUGCCAUUUUUGUUUCAUAUUAUUGAAUAAACUCAAUUUGCUUCAAUUUGGCGUUUACGCCCUUUUCAAAUGUUACUCUAGACUUAGUAGUCAAUGAUUCGAUAAUCUUUUCGUAUUAUCGCAAUAGGAAGGGUUGUGGUUUUUAAUGUAGAUAUUUCGAGCAGUCGUAAUUUGUACACUGAGAGAAAAACACUGAAGAAUUCCAUAAGUUACAACUUAUGAACAUGUAUAAUGUUGAUUUCAUUAAACACUUAUGCAUUACAUAUCAAGCUUAUAAAUUUCAUAAGUAUAUUUUAAGAUUUUCAUAUAAACGUCAUGUGCAUCCCAUACGCGUAGCUUAUGAUUUUCAUAAACGUUAACAUUGUGAAAAUUCUAUAUGCAUAUCUUAUAAAAUCUGCAAAAUGGCAGACCAGCAUUACGGUGGAUAAAUAAUUAUGCAGAAACUGGGUUGAAAAUUGGAGCAAAAAACUCAACUAAUAAUUCGUGUGAUCGUUGAAGAGGAUAACACUGACGACAUUCGGCAAGAAGAAUCAAAGGCGAAUUUAUUUCCCGAAUGGCAAAACUUCAAUGUGUUACCUGACGUAAUCCUAUAC
This is a long non-coding RNA of Wyeomyia smithii (pitcher-plant mosquito), 2809 nucleotides long. RefSeq lists it as uncharacterized. NCBI's taxonomy places the organism in Eukaryota, Metazoa, Arthropoda, Insecta, Diptera, Culicidae. The record is from RefSeq and is a predicted model, not a curated record. The transcript has 3 exons.